CCUACGGGAUGCUGCAGUGGGGAAUAUUGGACAAUGGGCGAAAGCCUGAUCCAGCCAUGCCGCGUGUGUGAAGAAGGCCUUCGGGUUGUAAAGCACUUUCAGUGGGGAAGAAAGCCUUGGGGCUAAUACCCUCGAGGAAGGACAUCACCCACAGAAGAAGCACCGGCUAACUCCGUGCCAGCAGCCGCGGUAAUACGGAGGGUGCGAGCGUUAAUCGGAAUUACUGGGCGUAAAGCGAGCGUAGGCGGUCUGAUAAGCCGGUUGUGAAAGCCCCGGGCUCAACCUGGGAACGGCAUCCGGAACUGGCAGGCUAGAGUGCAGGAGAGGAAGGUAGAAUUCCCGGUGUAGCGGUGAAAUGCGUAGAGAUCGGGAGGAAUACCAGUGGCGAAGGCGGCCUUCUGGACUGACACUGACGCUGAGGUGCGAAAGCGUGGGUAGCAAACAGGAUUAGAUACCCGGGUAGUC
RNAcentral lists this ribosomal RNA (465 nucleotides) under Vreelandella stevensii. RNAcentral's name for it is "partial 16S ribosomal RNA". It matches the Rfam family "Bacterial small subunit ribosomal RNA", at positions 338 to 795 of the family's 1533-position model. The record is from RNAcentral. Lineage: Bacteria; Pseudomonadati; Pseudomonadota; Gammaproteobacteria; Oceanospirillales; Halomonadaceae.